CCUACGGGACGCAGCAGUGGGGGAUAUUGCACAAUGGGGGGAACCCUGAUGCAGCGACGCCGCGUGGGUGAAGAAGCGCCUCGGCGCGUAAAGCCCUGUCAGCAGGGAAGAAAAUGACGGUACCUGAAGAAGAAGCCCCGGCUAACUACGUGCCAGCAGCCGCGGUAAUACGUAGGGGGCAAGCGUUAUCCGGAUUUACUGGGUGUAAAGGGUGCGUAGGCGGCCCUGCAAGUCAGAAGUGAAAUCCAUGGGCUUAACCCGUGAACUGCUUUUGAAACUGCAGGACUUGAGUGGAGUAGAGGUAG
This 305-nucleotide ribosomal RNA is filed under the name uncultured bacterium. Its description in RNAcentral is "bacterial SSU rRNA". It matches the Rfam family "Bacterial small subunit ribosomal RNA", at positions 338 to 660 of the family's 1533-position model. The record is from RNAcentral.